GAUGAAGAACGUAGCGAAAUGCGAUAAGUAAUGUGAAUUGCAGAAUUCAGUGAAUCAUCGAAUCUUUGAACGCACAUUGCGCCCGCCAGUAUUCUGGCGGGCAUGCCUGUUCGAGCGUCAUUUCAACCAUCAAGCCCCCGGCUUGUGUUGGGGACCUGCGGCUGCCGCAGGCCCUGAAAAGCAGUGGCGGGCUCGCUGUCACACCGAGCGUAGUAGCAUACAUCUCGCUCUGUGCGUGCUGCGGGUUCCGGCCGUUAAACCACCUUCAUAACCCAAGGUUGACCUCGGAUCAGGUAGGAAGACCCGCUGAACUUAAGCAUAUCAAUAAGCGGAGGA
Molecule: unclassified non-coding RNA, 336 nt
Filed under: soil metagenome
Description: partial contains 5.8S ribosomal RNA, internal transcribed spacer 2, and large subunit ribosomal RNA
Rfam family: 5.8S ribosomal RNA (bases 1-120)
Source: RNAcentral